GAACAGCUGAGGUAGCGUUCAGUUUCAGCCCCAGUGCCAUUAUGAUGGAUGUUUACAUCUCUUCAUUGAGAGCCAAUUAUCUCGCUUUUGUGUGAGGCCCCAGGAUCACUCAUGCUGCCAGGCUGCACACAGCACUGUUGGAUCUAGCUGAACGAAUUGUUUUCCCUGUCUCUGGUUCCUGCCACGGCGAGAUUUGGCCACGUGUUCUCUGGAGUUGGGUUAAAUGGGUGCCUUGCUAUGACCACCUUGGUCUUCACAGCAUAAAGGGGAACAUGUCCUACUUGAGGCUGAGACCCUGGGAAAACUCACAUUGUACUCAGUGGCCUUUAAAUGUUCUUCCCAGGCCCUCCGGAAGCUGUGUAGAAGGCCCAGCCAAAGGGAGACACCUGGCUAAUUUGACGGGAGAGUAAAAAGAAGAGGGCCGGCGGUGGAGUGGGAUUAUUUCUGAGACACUGGGAGACCACUGUCAGUAACAUGAAUGAUAUCUUCUUAACUUCUUCCUCUCCCUCAGUCUCUCAUGAUGUGCGGGCUGAUGGGCCAAGCAGGCUCAGAAAUAUAAUGAAGCAGUUGCUGUUGGAAUCCCAUGGCUUCACGGAGCUCAUGUCCUACUUGGAGAGAGAGGGAUAAGAGCUUUAAGUCAAUGAAGAAAGUUAAAGAACUAAGGUGGUAUGACUAAAAUAAAAUGAAGGGAAAAGAAGUAUGAAACCUUGGUUGUACUGCUAGAUCCCCCACUGAUUUAACUGCUGCUCACCUACUUUAUACUUU
RNAcentral lists this long non-coding RNA (765 nucleotides) under Equus asinus (donkey). RNAcentral's name for it is "lncRNA (ENSEASG00005033072.1)". The record is from RNAcentral. Lineage: Eukaryota; Metazoa; Chordata; Mammalia; Perissodactyla; Equidae.